This 965-nucleotide long non-coding RNA is filed under the name Homo sapiens (human). Its description in RNAcentral is "non-protein coding lnc-JARID2-2:1". The record is from RNAcentral. Lineage: Eukaryota; Metazoa; Chordata; Mammalia; Primates; Hominidae.
UGCGGCUUCAUCUGGGAGGAAAGUGAGUCUCAUUAUCCUCAGGCUCAGAAAAUCACUAAAGUUCAGCACUUGAAUGAGAGCCCCAAACCUCGUUCUCUUCCCAGGGCACUGGGUCCACGCUGGAGCAUCCCAGAGCUGAUCAAUCCCUCUGGAAGCAGGGACACCCCUGGCUCCAUAGGAUUCCAUUUUGCUGAACUACUGGUUCAGAAACACAAGAGCCUGACAUCUAUGGGAACACAGAGCCAGAAAACCCAGGCACAGACCAGGACAUCUCCGAGGUAUUUCCAGCAGGUAUCUGCUAGACGCGUUCUCUCUGCCAGCCCGCUGACUUGCUAGCUGUGGAGCAACUGCAGUACGUGCCCGUCCCUGUCACCAGGGGCUGGCCAUCAACAGAAGCUGCUCCUUCCAAGCCGGCCACGCGUCUACUACUUCAUCAUCCUCUCGGGGGUGCAUCCACGGCUCUCCCUACAAUGGGAGCUUCCUGAGAGGCACUUUCAUUUCUCUGUGCUUCCUCUGGGCUCACCAGCAAGUGCUAAACUGAAGGAAGAUAGAGUUAAAUUGUUUAGCAAUCAGAGUUUCUAUGACUGUCCAUCAUCACUGCAUCUCUUCUAUGACAUGAGACAUUGGUGCGAUGUGUCAUUAUGUUCAAAUGUGUGGGUCGGCCAGGGUGUAUCUGUAUGGACUGAAUGUGUCCCCAUAAAAUUUGUAUGUUGAAGCCCUAACCCCCAAUAUGAGGAUAUUUGGAGCUGGGGCCUUUGGGAGGUAAUUAAGUUAGAUGAGGUCAGAUGGACAUGGCCCCUGUGGUUGAGAUUAGCCCUAAUACCAAGAGAUAGCAGAGAGCUCCACCCUACUGUUGGCCACGUGCACACAUAGGGAGAAGGGGGCCGUCUAUAAGCAAGGAAGAGAGCCCUCAUCAGAAACCGAUCGCGCCAGCAUGCUGAUCUUGGAUCUGAGGCCUCCAGAAC